UAAUUGGAUUCAACGCCGGAAAACUCCCCCAAGGCCGACUGCUAGAUGAAGAUCAGGCGUAACGAGCUUAUUGGAUUAUCAGAGAGGUGGUGCAUGGCCGUCGUCAGUUCGUACUGUAAAGCGUUCUGUUAAGUCAGAUAACGAACGAGACCCGCAUCCUUAUUUGCGACCCUCAUGUCCGCAUGAGGCGCACCAUAGGGAGACCGCUGGUGUGAAACCAGAGGAAGGUGCGGGCAACGACAGGUCAGUAUGCCCCGAAUGUCUUGGGCUACACGCGCGCUACAAAGGACAGGACAAUGGGAAGCCACGCCGAGAGGCGGCGCUACCCCGAAACCUGUUCAUAGUUCGGAUCGAGGGCUGUAACUCGCCCUCGUGAAGCUGGAUUCCGUAGUAAUCGUGUUUCAACAUAGCACGGUGAAUAUGCCCCUGCUCCUUGCACACACCGCCCGUCAAACCA
RNAcentral lists this ribosomal RNA (457 nucleotides) under uncultured archaeon. RNAcentral describes it as "bacterial SSU rRNA". It matches the Rfam family "Archaeal small subunit ribosomal RNA", at positions 903 to 1360 of the family's 1478-position model. The record is from RNAcentral.